This 72-nucleotide transfer RNA is filed under the name Candidatus Tayloriibacteriota bacterium. RNAcentral's name for it is "tRNA-Arg". It matches the Rfam family "tRNA". From Rfam's summary of the family: Transfer RNA (tRNA) molecules are approximately 80 nucleotides in length. The record is from RNAcentral. Lineage: Bacteria; Candidatus Tayloriibacteriota.
CCCCUUGUAGCUCAAUGGAUCGAGCAGUGCUCUUCUAAGGCAUUGAUGUAGGUUCGAUUCCUACCGAGGGGA